This 497-nucleotide ribosomal RNA is filed under the name uncultured bacterium. Its description in RNAcentral is "partial 16S ribosomal RNA". It matches the Rfam family "Bacterial small subunit ribosomal RNA", at positions 28 to 507 of the family's 1533-position model. The record is from RNAcentral.
GACGAACGCUGGCGGCGUGCCUAAUACAUGCAAGUCGAACGCUGAAACUUGGUGCUUGCACCGAGCGGAUGAGUUGCGAACGGGUGAGUAACGCGUAGGUAACCUGCCUGGUAGCGGGGGAUAACUAUUGGAAACGAUAGCUAAUACCGCAUAAGAGUAGAUGUUGCAUGACAUUUGCUUAAAAGGUGCAAUUGCACCACUACCAGAUGGACCUGCGUUGUAUUAGCUAGUUGGUGGGGUAACGGCUCACCAAGGCGACGAUACAUAGCCGACCUGAGAGGGUGAUCGGCCACACUGGGACUGAGACACGGCCCAGACUCCUACGGGAGGCAGCAGUAGGGAAUCUUCGGCAAUGGACGGAAGUCUGACCGAGCAACGCCGCGUGAGUGAAGAAGGGUUUCGGAUCGUAAAGCUCUGUUGUAAGAGAAGAACGAGUGUGAGAGUGGAAAGUUCACACUGUGACGGUAGCUUACCAGAAAGGGACGGCUAACUACGUG